UCCCAGCUUCUUCUCCCACCAAUCUCAACCAAAAAUGAAAUCUUCCACAUAGAAAAGAGAAUGAUCAAAAUGUAUUCUUGGGAAAUUGACUCUAGAUCUCCCCCCUCUCUCUCCACCCUCCUGUCCCCCCUUUUUCCUCACUACCUAAACAGGCAGACAACAAAUUACACUUUUGGCAUUUCCAGUUUGGAGCCCUACAGCAAUACUCACUGAAGAAGCUGUCUCAACAAAGAGGAACAGAGCACUAAAGCUAAAUAACCCCCAUGAAGGACCAACCCUCUUCCGGCAGUCCCCAAAUGAAGAGCAAUUGUAUUCCUUUAAUUCAGUCAUAAAUCAACUCUCAAUUCUAUGAGAUUUUUCACAGAAGAACGGAGCGCCUCAAAAGUGGAUCAAGGCAGAAAUGGAUGUGGAAAUUAUCAUCCUGUACCUUUGAGGUAAAGAGGCUUCUACAGCUCUGGCAUGAGCUACCACAGGUCAUAACCAUUAGGAAAGAAACUGGAAUGUUACCAUGCCAGGCUUUGUGAAUAAACUAAAGUUUUGCUGGUGGUGGCACAGGAAAAAAAUGAAGAAACCAAGAGGACUUGAACCAAGUGGGUAUGACUCCAAAGCCCAUGCUUUAAAUGAACAAAUUGGCCUACCCUCUAAGGCAAGAACCCUUUAAUAGUGGUCUAUGUCAGAAAAAUAUCAAAAAGACUCAAGGCUCUUAAAUAAAUAAGGAAAUGAA
RNAcentral lists this long non-coding RNA (724 nucleotides) under Homo sapiens (human). RNAcentral's name for it is "HSALNT0302537". Lineage: Eukaryota; Metazoa; Chordata; Mammalia; Primates; Hominidae. The record is from RNAcentral.